GAGUUUGAUCCUGGCUCAAGAUGAACGCCGGCGGUGUGCCUAAUACAUGCAAGUCGUACGCACUGGCCCAACUGAUUGAUGGUGCUUGCACCUGAUUGACGAUGGAUCACCAAUGAGUGGCGGACGGGUGAGUAACACGUAGGUAACCUGCCUCGGAGCGGGGGAUAACAUUUGGAAACAGAUGCUAAUACCGCAUAACAACAAAAGCCACAUGGCUUUUGUUUGAAAGAUGGCUUUGGCUAUCACUCUGGGAUGGACCUGCGGUGCAUUAGCUAGUUGGUAAGGUAACGGCUUACCAAGGCAAUGAUGCAUAGCCGAGUUGAGAGACUGAUCGGCCACAAUGGAACUGAGACACGGUCCAUACUCCUACGGGAGGCAGCAGUAGGGAAUCUUCCACAAUGGGUGCAAGCCUGAUGGAGCAACACCGCGUGAGUGAAGAAGGGUUUCGGCUCGUAAAGCUCUGUUGUUGGAGAAGAACGUGCGUGAGAGUAACUGUUCACGCAGUGACGGUAUCCAACCAGAAAGUCACGGCUAACUACGUGCCAGCAGCCGCGGUAAUACGUAGGUGGCAAGCGUUAUCCGGAUUUAUUGGGCGUAAAGCGAGCGCAGGCGGUUGCUUAGGUCUGAUGUGAAAUCCUUCGGCUUAACCGAAGAAGUGCAUCGGAAACCGGGCGACUUGAGUGCAGAAGAGGACAGUGGAACUCCAUGUGUAGCGGUGGAAUGCGUAGAUAUAUGGAAGAACACCAGUGGCGAAGGCGGCUGUCUGGUCUGCAACUGACGCUGAGGCUCGAAAGCAUGGGUAGCGAACAGGAUUAGAUACCCUGGUAGUCCAUGCCGUAAACGAUGAGUGCUAAGUGGUGGGAGGGUUUCCGCCCUU
This 877-nucleotide ribosomal RNA is filed under the name uncultured bacterium. RNAcentral's name for it is "bacterial SSU rRNA". It matches the Rfam family "Bacterial small subunit ribosomal RNA", at positions 9 to 843 of the family's 1533-position model. The record is from RNAcentral.